Molecule: ribosomal RNA, 253 nt
Filed under: uncultured bacterium
Lineage: Bacteria
Description: partial 16S ribosomal RNA
Rfam family: Bacterial small subunit ribosomal RNA
Source: RNAcentral
GACAGAGGGUGCAAACGUUGCUCGGAAUUACUGGGCGUAAAGCGCGUGUAGGCGGCUCUUUAAGUCGACUGUGAAAUCCCUCGGCUCAACCGAGGAAGUGCAGCCGAUACUGGAGAGCUCGAGUUCUAGAGAGGGUGGCGGAAUGCGCAGUGUAGAGGUGAAAUUCGUAGAUAUUGCGUAGAACACCGGUGGCGAAGGCGGCCACCUGGAAAGCGACUGACGCUGAGACGCGAAAGCGUGGGGAUCAAACAGG